Molecule: ribosomal RNA, 250 nt
Filed under: uncultured eukaryote
Lineage: Eukaryota
Description: partial 18S ribosomal RNA
Source: RNAcentral
CCGUGGGGCGACUUGUCUGGUUAAUUCCGUUAACGAACGAGACCUCAGCUUGCUAACUAGGUCGCGCCAAUGCUCUGUACGGGUUGUGGAAAUUGGUGGCGACGGGGCUGGUUUUCAAUCGGUUCCGCGCACGGCCAGUGGACCGCCCGAGUCGAUUGGCGUUUGCCCGUGAGGCGUCGCCGGCGGUUUCCGCCGUUGGUGGCGCCGAGCGGGACGAGACUUCUUAGAGGGACUAAUCUGCUUUUAGCGA